UACGACGGGUACGGGUUGUGAGAGCAAGAGCCCGGAGAUGGAUUCUGAGACACGAAUCCAGGCCCUACGGGGUGCAGCAGGCGCGAAAACUUUACAAUGCUGGCAACAGCGAUAAGGGAACCUCGAGUGCCAGGUUACAAAUCUGGCUGUCGAGAUGCCUAAAAAGCAUUUCAUAGCAAGGGCCGGGCAAGACCGGUGCCAGCCGCCGCGGUAACACCGGCGGCUCGAGUGGUAACCGUUAUUAUUGGGUCUAAAGGGUCUGUAGCCGGCCGGAUAAGUCUCUUGAGAAAUCUGGCAGCUUAACUGUCAGGCUUUCAGGAGAUACUGUCUGGCUCGAGGCCGGGAGAGGUGAGAGGUACUUCAGGGGUAGGGGUGAAAUCUUGUAAUCCUUGAAGGACCACCAGUGGCGAAGGCGUCUCACCAGAACGGACCUGACGGCAAGGGACGAAAGCUAGGGGCACGAACCGGAUUAGAUACCCGGGUAGUCCUAGCCGUAAACGAUACUCGCUAGGUGUCGGCCACGGUGCGACCGUUGUCGGUGCCGUAGGGAAGCCGUGAAGCGAGC
Molecule: ribosomal RNA, 565 nt
Filed under: uncultured archaeon
Lineage: Archaea
Description: bacterial SSU rRNA
Rfam family: Archaeal small subunit ribosomal RNA
Source: RNAcentral